GGUUAAGCGACUAAGCGUACACGGUGGAUGCCCUGGCAGUCAGAGGCGAUGAAGGACGUGCUAAUCUGCGAAAAGCGCCGGCGAGGUGAUAUGAACCCUUGACCCGGCGAUGUCCGAAUGGGGAAACCCAGUGCAAUCCGUUGCACUAUCGUUAACUGAAUACAUAGGUUAACGAGGCGAACCGGGGGAACUGAAACAUCUAAGUACCCCGAGGAAAAGAAAUCAACCGAGAUUCCCCCAGUAGCGGCGAGCGAACGGGGAGCAGCCCGGAGUCUGAAUCAGCUUGUGUGUUAGUGGAACGGUCUGGAAAGUCCGACGGUACAGGGUGAUAGUCCCGUACACGAAAGCACACAUGCUGUGAACUCGAAGAGUAGGGCGGGACACGUGGUAUCCUGUCUGAAUAUGGGGGGACCAUCCUCCAAGGCUAAAUACUCCUGACUGACCGAUAGUGAACCAGUACCGUGAGGGAAAGGCGAAAAGAACCCCGGCGAGGGGAGUGAAAAAGAACCUGAAACCGUGUACGUACAAGCAGUGGGAGCCUCUUUAUGGGGUGACUGCGUACCUUUUGUAUAAUGGGUCAGCGACUUAUAUUCUGUAGCAAGGUUAACCGUAUAGGGGAGCCGAAGGGAAACCGAGUCUUAACUGGGCGUUAAGUUGCAGGGUAUAGACCCGAAACCCGGUGAUCUAGCCAUGGGCAGGUUGAAGGUUGGGUAACACUAACUGGAGGACCGAACCGACUAAUGUUGAAAAAUUAGCGGAUGACCUGUGGCUGGGGGUGAAAGGCCAAUCAAACCGGGAGAUAGCUGGUUCUCCCCGAAAGCUAUUUAGGUAGCGCCUCGUGAACUCAUCUUCGGGGGUAGAGCACUGUUUCGGCUAGGGGGCCAUCCCGGCUUACCAACCCGAUGCAAACUACGAAUACCGAAGAAUGAAUGUUAUCACGGGAGACACACGGCGGGUGCUAACGUCCGUCGUGAAGAGGGAAACAACCCAGACCGCCAGCUAAGGUCCCAAAGUCAUGGUUAAGUGGGAAACGAUGUGGGAAGGCACAGACAGCCAGGAUGUUGGCUUAGAAGCAGCCAUCAUUUAAAGAAAGCGUAAUAGCUCACUGGUCGAGUCGGCCUGCGCGGAAGAUGUAACGGGGCUAAACCAUGCACCGAAGCUGCGGCAGCGACGCUUAUGCGUUGUUGGGUAGGGGAGCGUUCUGUAAGCCGUUGAAGGUGUGCUGUGAGGCAUGCUGGAGGUAUCAGAAGUGCGAAUGCUGACAUAAGUAACGAUAAAGCGGGUGAAAAGCCCGCUCGCCGGAAGACCAAGGGUUCCUGUCCAACGUUAAUCGGGGCAGGGUGAGUCGACCCCUAAGGCGAGGCCGAAAGGCGUAGUCGAUGGGAAACAGGUUAAUAUUCCUGUACUUGGUGUUACUGCGAAGGGGGGACGGAGAAGGCUAUGUCAGCCGGGCGACGGUUGUCCCGGUUUAAGCAUGUAGGCGGAGGUUCCAGGUAAAUCCGGUACCUUAUUAACGCUGAGGUGUGAUGACGAGGCACUACGGUGCUGAAGUGAUAAAUGCCCUGCUUCCAGGAAAAGCCUCUAAGCAUCAGGUAACACGAAAUCGUACCCCAAACCGACACAGGUGGUCAGGUAGAGAAUACCAAGGCGCUUGAGAGAACUCGGGUGAAGGAACUAGGCAAAAUGGUGCCGUAACUUCGGGAGAAGGCACGCUGAUGUGUAGGUGAAGCCCCUGCGGGCGGAGCUGAAAUCAGUCGAAGAUACCAGCUGGCUGCAACUGUUUAUUAAAAACACAGCACUGUGCAAACACGAAAGUGGACGUAUACGGUGUGACGCCUGCCCGGUGCCGGAAGGUUAAUUGAUGGGGUUAGCGGCAACGCGAAGCUCUUGAUCGAAGCCCCGGUAAACGGCGGCCGUAACUAUAAUAACGGUCCUAAGGUAGCGAAAUUCCUUGUCGGGUAAGUUCCGACCUGCACGAAUGGCGUAAUGAUGGCCAGGCUGUCUCCACCCGAGACUCAGUGAAAUUGAACUCGCUGUGAAGAUGCAGUGUACCCGCGGCAAGACGGAAAGACCCCGUGAACCUUUACUAUAGCUUGACACUGAACACUGGUCCUUGAUGUGUAGGAUAGGUGGGAGGCUUUGAAGCGUGGACGCCAGUCUGCGUGGAGCCAACCUUGAAAUACCACCCUUUAAUGGCUGGUGUUCUAACGUAGACCCGUAAUCCGGGUUGCGGACAGUGUCUGGUGGGUAGUUUGACUGGGGCGGUCUCCUCCCAAAGAGUAACGGAGGAGCACGAAGGUUGGCUAAUCCUGGUCGGACAUCAGGAGGUUAGUGCAAUGGCAUAAGCCAGCUUGACUGCGAGCGUGACGGCGCGAGCAGGUGCGAAAGCAGGUCAUAGUGAUCCGGUGGUUCUGAAUGGAAGGGCCAUCGCUCAACGGAUAAAAGGUACUCCGGGGAUAACAGGCUGAUACCGCCCAAGAGUUCAUAUCGACGGCGGUGUUUGGCACCUCGAUGUCGGCUCAUCACAUCCUGGGGCUGAAGUAGGUCCCAAGGGUAUGGCUGUUCGCCAUUUAAAGUGGUACGCGAGCUGGGUUUAGAACGUCGUGAGACAGUUCGGUCCCUAUCUGCCGUGGGCGCUGGAGAAUUGAGGGGGGCUGCUCCUAGUACGAGAGGACCGGAGUGGACGCAUCACUGGUGUUCGGGUUGUCAUGCCAAUGGCACUGCCCGGUAGCUAAAUGCGGAAGAGAUAAGUGCUGAAAGCAUCUAAGCACGAAACUUGCCCCGAGAUGAGUUCUCCCUGAGACUUUAAGUCUCCUGAAGGAACGUUAAAGACGAUGACGUUGAUAGGUCGGGUGUGUAAGCGCAGCGAUGCGUUGAGCUAACCGAUACUAAUGAACCGUGAGGCUUAACCUU
This 2913-nucleotide ribosomal RNA is filed under the name Enterobacter hormaechei. Its description in RNAcentral is "23S ribosomal RNA". It matches the Rfam family "Bacterial large subunit ribosomal RNA". The record is from RNAcentral. Lineage: Bacteria; Pseudomonadati; Pseudomonadota; Gammaproteobacteria; Enterobacterales; Enterobacteriaceae.